Molecule: ribosomal RNA, 220 nt
Filed under: uncultured bacterium
Lineage: Bacteria
Description: partial 16S ribosomal RNA
Rfam family: Bacterial small subunit ribosomal RNA
Source: RNAcentral
AAACGUCUCAGUUCGGAUUGUAGUCUGCAACUCGACUACAUGAAGCUGGAAUCGCUAGUAAUCGCGGAUCAGAAUGCCGCGGUGAAUACGUUCCCGGGUCUUGUACACACCGCCCGUCACACCAUGGGAGUCGGAAACGCCCGAAGUCUGUGACCGAACCGAAAGGAAGGAGCAGCCGAAGGCAGGUCGGAUGACUGGGGUGAAGUCGUAACAAGGUACC